AAUCACUUGAGCCCAGGAGGUCAAGGUUGCAGUGAACUGUGAUCAUUCCACUGCACUCCAGCCUGGGUGACAGAGCAAGUCCCUGUCUCAAAAAAAAAAAAAAAAAAAAAAGUGAGAGGCAUGGAUAGAGCUGAACUUUCGUCUUUUAGGCAUGUGGUCAUUUGGCACAGGGACUCUGCCACCAGAGGGGUUGAAGGCCAGUUCUCCCUCUAUUCGAGGCAUGGCAAGGGACUUCAGAGACUACCUCAUCCAUCAUAUAUCCCUGUUCUACUCACCAGCCCUGCAGGAGCGCUAUGGGAAAGAAGCCGGGAAGUUCUCAGCUGUCAGUGAGGGCCAGGGGGACCCCCCAGGGGGCCCUGCCCCCACCGUCCUGGCCCCCAUGCCGUUGGCAGAGGUGGAGCUGAAAUGGGAAAUGGAGAAAGAGGAGAAGAGAUUGCUCUGGGAACAGCUGCAAGACUUAGAGAGCUCAAAGCAGGCUGAAACAUCCAGGCUGCAAGAGGAACUUGCUAAGCUCUCCGAGAAACUGAAAAAGAAACAAGAAAGUUUUUGCCGUCUGCAGACAGAAAAGGAGACUCUAUUUAAUGACAGCAGGAACAAGAUUGAGGAAUUACAACAACGGAAGGAAGCUGAUCACAAAGCCCAGUUGGCUCGAACCCAGAAGCUGCAGCAGGAACUUGAGGCUGCCAAUCAGAGCUUGGCAGAGCUGAGAGAUCAGUGGCAGGGGGAGCGCCUGGAACAUGCAGCCGCUUUGCGGGCCCUACAAGAUCAGGUAUCCAUCCAGAGUGCAGAUGCACAGGAGCAAGUGGAAGGGCUUUUGGCUGAGAAUAAUGCCUUGAGGACUAGCCUGGCUGCCCUGGAGCAGAUCCAAACAGCAAAGACCCAAGAACUGAAUAUGCUCCGGGAACAGACCACUGGGCUGGCAGCUGAGUUGCAGCAGCGGCAGGCUGAGUACGAGGACCUUAUGGGACAGAAAGAUGACCUCAACUCCCAGCUCCAGGAGUCAUUACGGGCCAAUAGUCGGCUGCUGGAACAACUUCAAGAAAUAGGGCAGGAGAAGGAGCAGUUGACCCAGGAAUUACAGGAGGCUCGGAAGAGUGCUGAGAAGCGGAAGGCCAUGCUGGAUGAGCUAGCAAUGGAAACGCUGCAAGAGAAGUCCCAGCACAAGGAAGAGCUGGGAGCAGUUCGUCUACGGCAUGAGAAGGAGGUGCUGGGGGUGCGUGCCCGCUAUGAGCGUGAGCUCCGAGAGCUGCAUGAAGACAAGAAGCGUCAGGAGGAGGAGCUCCGUGGGCAGAUCCGGGAGGAGAAGGCCCGGACACGGGAGCUGGAGACUCUUCAGCAGACAGUGGAAGAACUUCAAGCUCAGGUACACUCCAUGGAUGGAGCCAAGGGCUGGUUUGAACGGCGCUUGAAGGAAGCCGAGGAAUCCCUGCAGCAGCAGCAGCAGGAACAAGAGGAAGCCCUCAAGCAGUGUCGGGAGCAGCACGCUGCCGAGCUGAAGGGCAAGGAAGAGGAGCUACAGGAUGUGCGGGAUCAGCUCCAGCAGGCCCAGGAGGAGCGGGACUGCCACCUGAAGACCAUUAGCAGCCUGAAGCAGGAGGUGAAGGACACAGUGGAUGGGCAGAGGAUCCUGGAGAAGAAGGGCAGUGCUGCGCUCAAGGACCUCAAGCGGCAACUGCAUUUGGAGCGGAAACGAGCAGAUAAGCUGCAGGAGCGGCUGCAGGACAUCCUCACUAACAGCAAGAGCCGCUCAGGCCUUGAGGAGCUGGUUCUCUCAGAGAUGAACUCACCAAGCCGGACCCAGACAGGAGACAGCAGUAGCAUCUCCUCCUUCAGCUACCGGGAGAUCUUGCGGGAAAAGGAGAGCUCGGCUGUUCCAGCCAGGGUAAGGGGAAAGGAAGAACCUACAGCUCCAGCUUCUCUCAACCCAAAAAUCUGAGAACCCCUCCCCUUUUCUCCUCACCUAAAUCUAUCUCCUACUUUGGGCACAGCACACAUAUUUUCUUGUCAACUUUUCCCCAAGCCCACCAACUUGGAUUCAGAUUGCUACAUGCAGGACGGGCCAAUCAUUCUCUCUCUCUCUCUGACUUUCUGUUUCAUCAUCUGUGGGCUAAUUCCCCCUUCUCUGGUGCCAUAAAGUAUGUGGCUCAUAGUAGGUACACCAUCCAAGGAGAAGGUCCCUUUUUCCAACUUGUAAUGAUCACUAAUUAUUAUUGCCGGCUGUCAUGUCAGCCUCCUUACCAGCCACUUUCCUUUGGAAAUAACUUUUUUAUUGUUCCACAAAUAGUUUGUGCGCAUUGUAGUACAUUUUUUAAAAACCACAAAUGAGCAAAGAUUUUUUUAAAACCUUAAAUGUCUGGCCGGGUGUGGUGGCUCAUCCCUAUAAUCCUAGCACUUUGGGAGGCCAAGGUGGGCGGAUCACUUGAGCUCAGGAGUUUAAGACCAGCCUGGGAAACAUGGUGAAACUCCGACUCUAUUUAAAACAAAAACAAAAACAAAAAAACCUUAAAUGUCAAAAAAAUAAUAUUUUCACCAUCCAAAAGUCACCAUUAUAAAUUCUUAGUUCAGGGCUGGGCGCGGUGGCUCAUGCCUGUAACCCCAGCACUUUGGGAGGCUGAGGUGGGCAGAUCACUUGAGGUUAGGAGUUUAAGAACUGGCCUGGCCAACAUAGCAAAACCUCGUCUCUACUAAAAUACAAAAAUUAGCCAGGCGUGGUGGUGCGUGCCUGUAGUCCCAGCUACUUGAAAGGUUGAGGCAAGAGAAUCGCUUGAACCUGGGAGGUAGAGGUUGCAAUGAGCCGAGAUCACACCACUGCACUCUAGCCUGGGCAACAGUGAGACUCCAUCUCAAAAAAUAAAUAAAUAAAAUAAAUUCUUAGUUCAUACCCUUCCAGAAUUCUCUCUCUUUUUAAAACCUAGAUGAGAUUAACCUGUUUUUAUUCAACUGUUUUCUCUACCUUCCCAAUUUGAUACAUUUUCAUGUCAUUGACUGAGUGCGGUGGCUCCUGCCUAUAAUCCCAGUACUUUGGGAGGCCGAGGCGGGCAGAUCACUUGAGGUCAGGAGUUCAAGACCAGCCUGGCCAACAUGGUGAAACCCCGUCUCUACUAAAAAUACAAAAAUUAGCUGGGCGUAGUGGCACGUGCCUGUAAUUCCAGCUACUCGGGAGGCUGAGGCAGGAGAAUCACUUGAUCCCGGGAGUUGGAGGUUGCAGUGAGCCAAGAUCUUGCCAUUGCACUCCAGCCUGGGCAACAAGAGCGAAAUUCUGUCUCAAAAAAUAAAUAAAUAAAUAAAUAAAUAAAAUAAA
This 3301-nucleotide small RNA is filed under the name Pongo abelii (Sumatran orangutan). RNAcentral's name for it is "retained intron". The record is from RNAcentral. Lineage: Eukaryota; Metazoa; Chordata; Mammalia; Primates; Hominidae.